UCCGGCGCUUCCCAAAGCCGCGAGCAGGAACCAGGGCUGCUAGCCUGCCUCAUUCUUCGAGGAGCCCAGAGAUGCACGCUGCCAGGGUAACAGGGAACGCAGAAAAAGAACAGGGGGGUCUGGGGCUUAGUUCCCUUUCAGGCGCUUUGUGCUAAAAAUAAGACGGCAAAGAGGAGAGCCAAAUCCGAAAAAGGUGGUUGCGGGGAGGUCAUCGUCAUUGCUAAGCAGAGAACUCCUCUCCGCCAGCUGCGUUAGAUAGGUCUGUGGAAAACCUGAAACAGGUGCCUGGAGAAGCUAGGAAUAGAUGCAGGGCGAUGAUACUAAACCAGGGAAGAAAACAGAACAAAUUUAAGUGGCUGUGAGCUGUCAGCACUGAUGACAGUCUGUUCGCUUGGCUCCCAAACCUUGUGCUAUUUUAUUUUAAUUUCUGUAUUAAAUUUGCAUUUCUUAUAACCAUGUACUGUAACAGUGUAUUUUACCCAAUGAGAUAUCUGCCUAGGUUCCAGGAGAGCAGCUACCAUCAAAACAAAUACUGGGCUUCAUGGACCAAAGGUCUAUCUUGGUAUAAGGCAGUGAUGACAAACCUAUAGCACGGGUGCCAGAGGUGGCACUCAGAGCCCUCUCUGUGGGCACGAGCAAACAGAGUAACCCCCCACCCCACACACACACAUCUAGGCUGGCCUGGGC
Molecule: long non-coding RNA, 687 nt
Organism: Sphaerodactylus townsendi
Lineage: Eukaryota; Metazoa; Chordata; Lepidosauria; Squamata; Sphaerodactylidae
Exons: 3
Source: RefSeq, a predicted model, not a curated record